UGGCUUCACAGUUGUAUUAAAACUUUGUGUC
Molecule: non-coding RNA, 31 nt
Filed under: Mus musculus (house mouse)
Lineage: Eukaryota; Metazoa; Chordata; Mammalia; Rodentia; Muridae
Source: RNAcentral